This 567-nucleotide ribosomal RNA is filed under the name uncultured Actinomycetes bacterium. RNAcentral's name for it is "bacterial SSU rRNA". It matches the Rfam family "Bacterial small subunit ribosomal RNA", at positions 338 to 916 of the family's 1533-position model. Lineage: Bacteria; Bacillati; Actinomycetota; Actinomycetes. The record is from RNAcentral.
CCUACGGGAGGCAGCAGUAAGGAAUUUUCGUCAAUGGAGGAAACUCUGACCCAGCGACGCCGCGUGCGGGAUGAAGGCCUUCGGGUUGUAAACCGCUUUCAGUAGGGAAGAAGCGAAAGUGACGGUACCUACAAAAGAAGCACCGGCUAACUAUGUGCCAGCAGCCGCGGUAAUACAUAGGGUGCAAGCGUUGUCCGGGAUUAUUGGGCGUAAAGAGCUCGUAGGUCGUUUGUUACGUCGGAUGUGAAAACCUGAGGCUCAACCUCAGGCCUGCAUUCGAUACGGGCAAACUAGAGUUUGGUAGGGGAGACUGGAAUUCCUGGUGUAGCGGUGGAAUGCGCAGAUAUCAGGAGGAACACCAAUGGCGAAGGCAGGUCUCUGGGCCAAUACUGACACUGAGGAGCGAAAGUCUGGGGAGCGAACAGGAUUAGAUACCCUGGUAGUCCAGACCGUAAACGGUGGGCACUAGUUGUGGGAACCUUCCACGGUUUCUGCGACGCAGCUAACGCAUUAAGUGCCCCGCCUGGGGAGUACGAUCGCAAGAUUAAAACUCAAAGGAAUUGACGG